Molecule: long non-coding RNA, 149 nt
Organism: Syngnathus acus (greater pipefish)
Lineage: Eukaryota; Metazoa; Chordata; Actinopteri; Syngnathiformes; Syngnathidae
Exons: 2
Source: RefSeq, a predicted model, not a curated record
CUCAGUGUCUUCCCACAGUGUUCAGGUGUGUUAUUUCAAACUACAAGCGUACAGUCUCUGUUGCGAUCAAUAAGUCUUCUUUGGCAACCCUGCUUUAAAAUGGCCACCGAACUCUGAAUCUUGGUAUAUGUUGGUGCAUUUUUCUGUAG